Molecule: long non-coding RNA, 466 nt
Organism: Ananas comosus (pineapple)
Lineage: Eukaryota; Viridiplantae; Streptophyta; Magnoliopsida; Poales; Bromeliaceae
Exons: 4
Source: RefSeq, a predicted model, not a curated record
UUGAUCUCUCCCUUUUGCUCUUUUUUGUAUUUUGAUGGUUCUUCAACCUUGGUGAAGCUUUGAAGUAAGGAUUGGAGCUUGUUUAAGAAAAGAUUUCUAACCCUAACACACUCCUAGCUUGGUUUGGAGCUUCAAAAGAGGUUGGAUUAGAAGUAUCCUAGUCUUCACUUGGAGUUUGAUGGGGUUCUACACCAUACAAGAGCCUUCCUCUUCGGAAGAGGUUAGGGACCGCGGUAAGGGGGUUGCCUCUAGCUAGUUAGCGAGGAGCUUGCUAUUAGGUAUAUGGCGGGUCUGGACACGCACCGGGCGGGCUUUCGCUGGGUCCCAGGACGUGACACCAGCCUAAUUCUUAAAAGAUUUGGGCUAAAUCUUUUAUUAUUUCGUAAUACUGAAACAUGUAAGUGAUAGUGCCUUAAGAUUCUUAUAUUUUUAUGUUGGGUUAAGAAAAGAUUAUUUGUAGGUGUGU